AGUGAACGCUGGCGGUAGGCCUAACACAUGCAAGUCGAACGGCAGCACAGUAAGAGCUUGCUCUUACGGGUGGCGAGUGGCGGACGGGUGAGGAAUACAUCGGAAUCUACUUUUUCGUGGGGGAUAACGUAGGGAAACUUACGCUAAUACCGCAUACGACCUACGGGUGAAAGCAGGGGAUCUUCGGACCUUGCGCGAUUGAAUGAGCCGAUGUCGGAUUAGCUAGUUGGCGGGGUAAGGGCCCACCAAGGCGACGAUCCGUAGCUGGUCUGAGAGGAUGAUCAGCCACACUGGAACUGAGACACGGUCCAGACUCCUACGGGAGGCAGCAGUGGGGAAUAUUGGACAAUGGGCGCAAGCCUGAUCCAGCCAUACCGCGUGGGUGAAGAAGGCCUUCGGGUUGUAAAGCCCUUUUGUUGGGAAAGAAAAGCAGCAGGUUAAUACCCCGCUGUCCUGACGGUACCCAAAGAAUAAGCACCGGAUAACUUCGUG
RNAcentral lists this ribosomal RNA (492 nucleotides) under uncultured bacterium. Its description in RNAcentral is "partial 16S ribosomal RNA". It matches the Rfam family "Bacterial small subunit ribosomal RNA", at positions 29 to 507 of the family's 1533-position model. The record is from RNAcentral.